This 348-nucleotide unclassified non-coding RNA is filed under the name soil metagenome. RNAcentral's name for it is "partial contains 5.8S ribosomal RNA, internal transcribed spacer 2, and large subunit ribosomal RNA". The stretch from base 1 to 120 matches the Rfam family "5.8S ribosomal RNA", at positions 35 to 154 of the family's 154-position model. The record is from RNAcentral.
GAUGAAGAACGUAGCGAAAUGCGAUAAGUAAUGUGAAUUGCAGAAUUCAGUGAAUCAUCGAAUCUUUGAACGCACAUUGCGCCCGCCAGUAUUCUGGCGGGCAUGCCUGUCUGAGCGUCAUUUCAACUCUCAUGCCCCUAGGGCGUGGUGUUGGGGAUCGGCCAAAGCCCGCGAGGGACGGCCGGCCCCUAAAUCUAGUGGCGGACCCGUCGUGGCCUCCUCUGCGAAGUAGUGAUAUUCCGCAUCGGAGAGCGACGAGCCCCUGCCGUUAAACCCCCAACUUUCCAAGGUUGACCUCAGAUCAGGUAGGAAUACCCGCUGAACUUAAGCAUAUCAAUAAGCGGAGGA